UGGGGGAUAUUGCACAAUGGGCGAAAGCCUGAUGCAGCGACGCCGCGUGGGGGAUGAAGGCUUUCGGGUUGUAAACCUCUUUCGCUAUCGAACAAGGCCCGCUUAGGGUGGGUUGAGGGUAGGUGGAGAAGAAGCGCCGGCUAACUACGUGCCAGCAGCCGCGGUAAUACGUAGGGCGCGAGCGUUGUCCGGAAUUAUUGGGCGUAAAGGGCUUGUAGGCGGCUUGUUGCGCCUGCUGUGAAAACGCGGGGCGUAACUUGGGGCGUGCAGUGGGUACGGGCAGGCUUGAGUGUGGUAGGGGUGACUGGAAUUCCAGGUGUAGCGGUGGAAUGCGCAGAUAUCUGGAGGAACACCGAUGGCGAAGGCAGGUCACUGGGCCAUUACUGACGCUGAGGAGCGAAAGCAUGGGUAGCGAACAGG
Molecule: ribosomal RNA, 420 nt
Filed under: bacterium
Lineage: Bacteria
Description: partial 16S ribosomal RNA
Rfam family: Bacterial small subunit ribosomal RNA
Source: RNAcentral